UGAGAAUGGAAAUGGGGAAUGUGCCAAAGAGACAACAACCCGACCAUAGAAAAAAAAAAAACAACAGCAGAAGGUCACCAAUAGGUCUUCAAUGUAGCGAGAAAUUCCCGCACCCGGAGGCGUCCUUCAGCUGGCCCCUAAACAAAUAUAUACUAGUUCAGUGAUAAUGAACGCCAUACUAAUUUCCAAAUUGUACACAAGAAACUAAAAUUAAAAUAAUACAAGACUAACAAAGGCCAGAGGCUCCUGACUUGGGACAGGCGCAAAAAGUGCGGCGGGGUUAAACAUGUUUGUGAGAUCUCAACCCUCCCCCUAUACUUCUAGCCAAUGUAGAAAAGUAAACGCAUAACAAUACGCAC
This 359-nucleotide long non-coding RNA is filed under the name Mytilus galloprovincialis (Mediterranean mussel). Lineage: Eukaryota; Metazoa; Mollusca; Bivalvia; Mytilida; Mytilidae. The record is from RNAcentral.